UCCACUCGUGCAGGUCUUCCAAUGUUGCAU
RNAcentral lists this non-coding RNA (30 nucleotides) under Rattus norvegicus (Norway rat). The record is from RNAcentral. Lineage: Eukaryota; Metazoa; Chordata; Mammalia; Rodentia; Muridae.